RNAcentral lists this ribosomal RNA (1250 nucleotides) under Candidatus Phytoplasma phoenicium. Its description in RNAcentral is "bacterial SSU rRNA". It matches the Rfam family "Bacterial small subunit ribosomal RNA", at positions 153 to 1399 of the family's 1533-position model. Lineage: Bacteria; Bacillati; Mycoplasmatota; Mollicutes; Acholeplasmatales; Acholeplasmataceae. The record is from RNAcentral.
GAAACAGUUGCUAAGACUGGAUAGGAAAUUAAAAGGCAUCUUUUAAUUUUUAAAAGACCUUUUUCGGAAGGUAUGCUUAAAGAGGGGCUUGCGCCACAUUAGUUAGUUGGUAAGGUAAAGGCUUACCAAGACGAUGAUGUGUAGCUGGACUGAGAGGUUGAACAGCCACAUUGGGACUGAGACACGGCCCAAACUCCUACGGGAGGCAGCAGUAAGGAAUUUUUGGCAAUGGAGGAAACUCUGACCGAGCGACGCCGCGUGAACAAUGAAGUACUUCGGUAUGUAAAGUUCUUUUAUUGAAAAAGAAAAAAUAGUGGAAAAACUAUCUUGACAUUAUUCAAUGAAUAAGCCCCGGCUAAUUAUGUGCCAGCAGCCGCGGUAAUACAUAAGGGGCGAGCGUUAUCCGGAAUUAUUGGGCGUAAAGGGUGCGUAGGCGGUUUGAUAAGUCUAUAGUUUAAUUGCAGUGCUUAACGCUGUACCGCUAUAGAAACUGUCUGACUAGAGUUAGAUAGAGGCAAGCGGAAUUCCAUGUGUAGCGGUAAAAUGCGUAAAUAUAUGGAGGAACACCAGAGGCGUAGGCGGCUUGCUGGGUCUUAACUGACGCUGAGGCACGAAAGCGUGGGGAGCAAACAGGAUUAUAUACCCUGGUAGUCCACGCCGUAAACGAUGAGUACUAAGUGUCGGGUUUUGGCUCGGUACUGAAGUUAACACAUUAAGUACUCCGCCUGAGUAGUACGUACGCAAGUAUGAAACUUAAAGGAAUUGACGGGACCCCGCACCAGCGGUGGAUCAUGUUGUUUAAUUUGAAGAUACACGAAAAACCUUACCAGGUCUUGACAUAAUUUUGCGACAUUAUAGAAAUAUAAUGAAGGUUAUCAGAAUUACAGGUGGUGCAUGGUUGUCGUCAGCUCGUGUCGUGAGAUGUUAGGUUAAGUCCUAAAACGAGCGCAACCCUUGUCGUUAGUUGCGACCACAUAAUGGUGAGCACUUUAGCGAGACUGCCAAUGAAAAAUUGGAGGAAGGUGAGGAUUACGUCAAAUCAUCAUGCCCCUUAUGAUCUGGGCUACAAACGUGAUACAAUGGCUUUUACAAAGAGUAGCUACAACGUGAGUUUUUAGCCAAUCUCAAAAAAACAGUCUCAGUUCGGAUUGAAGUCUGCAACUCGACUUCAUGAAGUUGGAAUCGCUAGUAAUCGCGAAUCAGCAUGUCGCGGUGAAUACGUUCUCGGGGUUUGUACACACCGCCCGUCA